This 322-nucleotide ribosomal RNA is filed under the name uncultured eukaryote. RNAcentral's name for it is "partial 18S ribosomal RNA". It matches the Rfam family "Eukaryotic small subunit ribosomal RNA", at positions 1470 to 1796 of the family's 1831-position model. The record is from RNAcentral.
CCCUUAGAUGUUCUGGGCCGCACGCGUGCUACACUGAGUGGAUCAGCGGGUCAGGUUGCGCGAAAGCGUUUCCUAAUCUUUAAAUCCGCUCGUGAUGGGGAUUGACGGUUGCAAUUUUCUGUCAUGAACGAGGAAUACCUUGUAAGCGCGGGUCAUCAUCCCGCGCUGAAUACGUCCCUGCCCUUUGUACACACCGCCCGUCGCUCCUACCGAUUGAGUGGUCCGGUGAGGCUUUGGGAUCUGAGCGGAAAGAGUGUUUCGCUGUUUCUGCUCGGAAAACUCAGUCGAACCUUAUCAUUUAGAGGAAGGAGAAGUCGUAACA